GAACAACAAUCAAGAAGUGGUUGUAACUAACUCUCAACUAUUUGAGAGGAAGAAGAUGAAACCAAACAAUAACUUGCGCCAACCAAUUGUCACCAAAACAAUAUUGCCGCCUACCUCUUUAAAAGCUCCGACAAAGGGGCACCAAGAGAGAGAGAGGGCAUGGGCUAGAGAGAGAAAGGAGAGGGGAGGUGAUGGGCACAGUAAAGAUGGCAGCA
Molecule: long non-coding RNA, 215 nt
Filed under: Elaeis guineensis (African oil palm)
Lineage: Eukaryota; Viridiplantae; Streptophyta; Magnoliopsida; Arecales; Arecaceae
Description: long non-coding RNA (EGUI_LNC014264)
Source: RNAcentral